RNAcentral lists this ribosomal RNA (254 nucleotides) under uncultured prokaryote. Its description in RNAcentral is "partial 16S ribosomal RNA". It matches the Rfam family "Bacterial small subunit ribosomal RNA", at positions 525 to 777 of the family's 1533-position model. The record is from RNAcentral.
ACGGAGGGUGCGAGCGUUGUCCGGAAUCAUUGGGCGUAAAGCGCACGUAGGCGGUCUUUUAAGUCUCAAGGUGAAAGGCUGGGGCUCAACCCCAUGCAUGCCGGGGAUACUGGGAGGCUGGAGACAGGCAGAGGCCAGCGGAAUUCCGGGUGUAGCGGUGGAAUGCGUAGAGAUCCGGAAGAACACCGGAGGCGAAGGCGGCUGGCUGGGCCUGAUCUGACGCUGAGGUGCGAAAGCGUGGGGAGCGAACAGGA